RNAcentral lists this ribosomal RNA (333 nucleotides) under uncultured bacterium. RNAcentral describes it as "bacterial SSU rRNA". It matches the Rfam family "Bacterial small subunit ribosomal RNA", at positions 568 to 898 of the family's 1533-position model. The record is from RNAcentral.
UGCGUAGGCGGUUUGGUAAGUCUUCUGUGAAAUCUAUGGGCUCAACUCAUAGACUGCAUGAGAAACUGCCGGGCUGGAGUGUGGGAGAGGUGAGUGGAAUUCCUGGUGUAGCGGUGAAAUGCGUAGAUAUCAGGAGGAACACCUGUGGCGAAAGCGGCUCACUGGACCAUAACUGACGCUGAUGCACGAAAGCUAGGGGGAGCAAACAGGAUUAGAUACCCUGGUAGUCCUAGCCCUAAACCAUGAUUGCUUGGUGUGACGGGUACCCAAUCCCGCCGUGCCGUAGCUAACGCGUUAAGCAAUCCGCCUGGGGAGUACGGUCGCAAGGCUGAA